CCUACGGGUGGCAGCAGUGGGGAAUAUUGCACAAUGGGGGAAACCCUGAUGCAGCGACGCCGCGUGAGUGAAGAAGUCUCUCGGUAUGUUAAGCUCUAUCAGUCGGGAAGAAAAUGACGGUACCUGACUCAGAAGCAGCGGAUACAUACAUGCCAGCAGCCGCGGGAAUGCGUAGGGGGCAGGCGUUAUCCGGAUUUACUGGGGGUAAAGGGGGCGUAGGCGGCCGGACAAGUCCGAAGUGAAAGCCCAGGGCUCAACCCGGGGACUGCUUUUGAAACUGCCGGAGUGGAGUGAAGGAGAGGUAAGCGGAAUUCCUGGUGUAGCGGUGAAAUGCGUAGAUAUUAGGAGGAACACCAGUGGCGAAGGCGGCUUACUGGACUGUAACUGACGCUGAGGCUCGAAAGCGUGGGGAGCGAACAGGAUUAGAUACCCCAGUAGUC
Molecule: ribosomal RNA, 440 nt
Filed under: uncultured bacterium
Lineage: Bacteria
Description: partial 16S ribosomal RNA
Rfam family: Bacterial small subunit ribosomal RNA
Source: RNAcentral